This 405-nucleotide ribosomal RNA is filed under the name uncultured bacterium. RNAcentral describes it as "partial 16S ribosomal RNA". It matches the Rfam family "Bacterial small subunit ribosomal RNA", at positions 28 to 526 of the family's 1533-position model. The record is from RNAcentral.
GACGAACGCUGGCGGCGUGCUUAACACAUGCAAGUCGAGCGGAGCGGCGAACGGGUGAGUAACACGUGAGUAACUGCCCCCCUCUCUGGGAUAAAAGUUGGAAACGGCUGCUAAUACCUGAUAGUGGGGGAUGACUCGCGUCCUAUCAGAUUGUUGGUUGGGUAUUGGCCUACCAAGGCGACGACGGGUAGCCGGCCUGAUAGGGCGACCGGCCACAUUGGGCUGAGAUACGGCCCAAACGCCUACGGGAGGCAGUAGUGGGGAAUAUUGCACAAUGGGGGAAACGCUGAUGAAGAAACGCCGCGUGCGGGAUGACGGCCUUCGGGUUGUAAACCGCUUUCAGCCAUGACGCGGUAGUUGCAGAAGAAGCACCGGCUAACUACGUGCCAGCAGCCGCGGUAAUAC